GCGCCCGUAGCUCAGGGGAUAGAGCAAGAGACUUCUAAUCUCGAGGCCGCAGGUUCGAAUCCUGCCGGGCGCA
Molecule: transfer RNA, 73 nt
Filed under: Thermoleophilia bacterium
Lineage: Bacteria; Bacillati; Actinomycetota; Thermoleophilia
Also listed under: 2 other names
Description: tRNA-Arg
Rfam family: tRNA
About the family: Transfer RNA (tRNA) molecules are approximately 80 nucleotides in length. Their secondary structure includes four short double-helical elements and three loops (D, anti-codon, and T loops).
Source: RNAcentral